Molecule: ribosomal RNA, 389 nt
Filed under: uncultured bacterium
Lineage: Bacteria
Description: bacterial SSU rRNA
Rfam family: Bacterial small subunit ribosomal RNA
Source: RNAcentral
GACGAACGCUGGCGGCGUGCUUAACACAUGCAAGUCGAGCGGUAAGGCCCUUUCGGGGGUACACGAGCGGCGAACGGGUGAGUAACACGUGGGUGACCUGCCCUUAGCUCUGGGAUAAGCCUGGGAAACUGGGUCUAAUACCGGAUAUGACUCCAUGACGCAUGUUGUGGGGUGGAAAGCCUUGUGCGGCUAGGGAUGGGCCCGUGGCCUAUCAGCUUGUUGGUGGGGUGAUGGCCACCAAGGCGACGACGGGUAGCCGGCCUGAGAGGGCGACCGGCCACACUGGGACUGAGACACGGCCCAGACUCCUACGGGAGGCAGCAGUGGGGAAUCUUGCGCAAUGGGCGAAAGCCUGACGCAGCGACGCCGCGUGGGGAUGACGGCCUCGG